RNAcentral lists this ribosomal RNA (495 nucleotides) under uncultured bacterium. RNAcentral describes it as "partial 16S ribosomal RNA". It matches the Rfam family "Bacterial small subunit ribosomal RNA", at positions 28 to 507 of the family's 1533-position model. The record is from RNAcentral.
GACGAACGCUGGCGGCGUGCCUAAUACAUGCAAGUAGAACGCUGAAGGAGGAGCUUGCUCUUCUGGAUGAGUUGCGAACGGGUGAGUAACGCGUAGGUAACCUGCCUGGUAGCGGGGGAUAACUAUUGGAAACGAUAGCUAAUACCGCAUAACAGUAGAUGUUGCAUGACAUUUGCUUAAAAGGUGCAAUUGCACCACUACCAGAUGGACCUGCGUUGUAUUAGCUAGUUGGUGGGGUAACGGCUCACCAAGGCGACGAUACAUAGCCGACCUGAGAGGGUGAUCGGCCACACUGGGACUGAGACACGGCCCAGACUCCUACGGGAGGCAGCAGUAGGGAAUCUUCGGCAAUGGACGGAAGUCUGACCGAGCAACGCCGCGGGAGUGAAGAAGGUUUUCGGAUCGUAAAGCUCUGUUGUAAGAGAAGAACGAGUGUGAGAGUGGAAAGUUCACACUGUGACGGUAUCUUACCAGAAAGAGAUGGCUAACUACGUG